Non-coding RNA from Pelobates cultripes (western spadefoot toad), 312 nucleotides. NCBI's taxonomy places the organism in Eukaryota, Metazoa, Chordata, Amphibia, Anura, Pelobatidae. The record is from the annotation of a GenBank genome assembly.
GAGAAUUAAAGGGUCACUGCAGACCACUAAAGCACUUUAGCUUGCUGAAAAGCUUUGUGUGAAGAGUGUGUUGUGGCAUAGCCUGCAAAUUCACAUGGUCUGCUAUUUUAUAUUGUGUUGUUAGGAGUGCCCAUGUGUUAAACCAUAUGAUUUGGUCCUAUGUAUUAAAUUGAAUGUAAUGAUUGUCCAGGAUGUAUGUGGCUCCCUCCUUUUCCUGUCUUAUCGUUUUCCCAGCAGGUCGUUGUCCAAUUGUUCCAAUGACACUUCCAGACCAGUUCCAUCUGACUGUCCUGACACUUCUUUAAAUCUUCC